Molecule: long non-coding RNA, 214 nt
Organism: Danio aesculapii
Lineage: Eukaryota; Metazoa; Chordata; Actinopteri; Cypriniformes; Danionidae
Exons: 3
Source: RefSeq, a predicted model, not a curated record
UGCUGUUCUUUUCAAAUUAAAGUUCAGAGCAGAAAACUCCUGUCUGGACUCUUUUGUGCCAUGUGGAAAUAUUACAGAAACGGAGUUGUGCCGAAAAGAAAUAAGCAGAAAUCGGACAAUGAAGUUGUCAACCUUCCUCCCAUUUCCAACGGGAUUGCUGCAAAGCUGGCACCGGAUCAACAAAGCAACAUCCAAAGCACAGCACAGAGGCUGC